UUUUUUUAGAGAAAUUAAAGAUAAAUUCUGCCCUAUGAAGAUUAAAUGGCUGCAGUAUAAUGACUGUACAAAGGUAGCAUAAUAAUUAGUUUAUUAAUUGUAAACUGGAAUGAAGGAAUAAAUGAAAAACAAAUUUUAUUAAAAUUAUUAUUAAAAAUUUAUUUUUAAGUAAAAAAGCUUAAUUUAAUUAUAGGGACGAGAAGACCCUAUAGAACUAUAUUUUUUAAAAAUAAAAGUAUAAAAAGAAUUUAUAAUUAAUUAUUAUUAAAAUAUUUUAUUGGGGUGAUAAUUAAAUUUAAUAAACUUUAUUUUUUCAAAUCAUAAAUGAAUGUAAAAUUGAUCCAAAAAGAAUUGAUAAAAAGAAAAAGUUACCUUAGGGAUAACAGCGUAAUUUUAAUGGAAAGUUCAAAUUUAUAUUAAAGAUUGCGACCUCGAUGUUGAAUUAAGAUAAACCUUAGGAGCAGAUUUUUAAGGAAAUAGUCUGUUCGACUAAAAAUUCUUACA
RNAcentral lists this ribosomal RNA (504 nucleotides) under Petalocephala chlorophana. RNAcentral describes it as "partial large subunit ribosomal RNA". The record is from RNAcentral. Lineage: Eukaryota; Metazoa; Arthropoda; Insecta; Hemiptera; Cicadellidae.